AAGAAGCUUUCAAACCAAUAAAUCAUCGAAGCAGGGCUAACUGACAGGGAACAUUCUGGAACACAAAGGGAAUGGUAACAGUAAUUGACAGGAGCAUGGGGCAGGGUGACCAGGAUUGGCUGGGACACCUAGGGGAAUAAGGGGAGGAGCAAGGAGACUGACACAGUGAGGAACAGACAAGUGGCGAGAAAACUCUGAGGUUGUGGCUGCAAGGGAGGCAGAUGCCAUGAAGAAGGAAUUCACCUUAUAAGAAUACCAGUGGUGGUCUUGCACAGGUAUCGAGCAUUCAGACAGAGUCCUGCAGCUUUGCACACUCAAACAAAGUUUCCACACAAAUUUUAUUCAAAAAACACUCUACAGCAGAACUGAGGAUAUUUUCUGGUCCAGGAUGGAAAUUGAAGCAAAGAGAAGGGAGGCAGCCUUGCAAUGGAGGUAAGACUACCCUAUUAAUUAUCUCACUUGCACUAAGCUUCUGAAAAUUCAUAUGCAACCUGAAAGAAAGUUAAAAUAGCCUGUCACUAUUUCAGAGGGGAAAGAAAAUUUUUUCUGUAUUAUGCUGACUAGCUGCAGCUGGCAGAGGUCAAAGACAGCAUAGCCAUGAUACUGUUGCUCUCUUCUGAAUCUGGAAUGAAAUCUGAUGUAUUCAUGGCAAUGCAGUCAACAGUGAAAUUACUUCCAGUUAGCUUGCUGCUAUUUCUGCUAAUCUCAGCUAGAGUUUAGCUGGCUGUUUGCUCCUGAAGAAUCGGUGUAAAGAGGGGAAGAUAAUACACUGAUGAAAAUUACUGUUUCUGUUCAACAUCUUAUACUCAAUAGUAUUUGCUGGACUCCUCUAAAUAUAGCAGUACAUGUUUGGAGGUAGAUGCUGCACACAGUUCAGAUUCACGGUGCUGUGUGGGACCAGUGACCUUCCCUUGCCUUGUGUGCAAAAUCACUCCCGCAGUCUUCCUCAUCAUGAGCUUCAUCAGUUUCUUCUUUAAUACUGAAACAAAAUUGUAACAGGGAAUUAAUUUCCACUGUCUAUGCUCUUCUUUUUCAUUCAAGUGUUUUUCAAUUUUAAGCACACAACUAAAUUCGGACUCAGACAGACUUGUAAUUAAAAUGACUGAAGGUCCAAGGAUGAAUCAGAUGUUUACUGAUGAAAAUUUCCACCAAAAAUGCCAAUUAACUGAACUAGAUAGCUUCCCUAAAAACAUCCCAGCUUGAUCCUUCUGCUGGCUCCAGAAACAGAUUUGGUGUUCCUAACAGCUCCUGUGAGGAAACCUGGAGCAGUGUAGGUGUCCCCAUACAGCUGCCAGGCUCAAGCCCUGCAGCAGGGGCUGCUGGCCUGCCCAUCCCCACCGAUGGUUGCUGCAUGUGUCCAGCAGCAACUCCCAGCUUUGCCCCAGAGCCACAGGUGAAUUCCAGAGCCCCUGUCCAUGGCAAAGCUGUCAGUGACAGUCAUUCCAAUGGCAGAUUGUAGGAGUGUGUCCCCUAAUGACAAGAGUGGCAAAGCUAGCCUUUGUCCCCCCAAAAAGGAAAGAAGCCCAGAACUUUCUCUCAGCGAUUAGGUGAAAAGCCACCUCAUAGGACCUCAGAGACUUCACCAAAAACUCGAGGUCAUCUAAUUGGAUAGAAGCCAAAAAGUCCCGCCUGGCCCAUGAGGUAGAAAAGAAGAGAACAAAAGAACUGAAGUGCUUUUGUGAGGUGUUUAUAUCAGGAGCAGACCUCUGCACCUGGCUCGAGUUUUUCUGUUUGUUAUUUUGUCUUGUAUUAAAUGUCUUUUGUUUCUAACACUGCAGCAGAAGCCAUCCUGCUUAUUAUAUGCCCCCAAAGUAAUAGCUGAGCUAUCCUUGGGUGUGUUAGGUUUUCUUUUGAGGGCUUAUGAGAACUGGCCCAAGAAAAAGAAACCUAACAGCAGGCUUCUGGGUUGAAGGAGCCUCUGCUUCAUGUGAAAUUUCAGAGGGUCAGAGAAAGAUUUUCUUUCCAAAUACGUAAAACAGCUACAAAUCCAUAAAGCUGCACACCUGGUUUCAGGGCAGCUCUAGUAUUCUUCCAAGGUAUGAAAACCACUGUCUGUAUCAGCCAUAAGCUUUGAUUAAGAGACUAAGGGGAAUCUCCUAUCCACACAAAAAUCCUAACAGUCCCAAUCCUGCAGUUUAUAAUGCUCAGGCAGACUACUGUGCUCAAGGGGAGCACUAUUAAGUUUAAUGUGGAUUCCAGCUAUGCAUUUUAAAUUGCCAGAUCAGAGGCUGAAAUUAUAUGCACACAGGGGCAGAUGUUACCUACUGCAUCUUCUACAGUGUGGAGCAUGUAGUGAGCAUUUAACAAAGGAUAAAAAAAAAUCAUAGUUAUAACAACUAUAGCAAUACCAAUAGUUAUUAUGACAAAAAUAAUAGAUAAUGCUAUCUACCAUAUUCAGCUUGAAUUUUCUUUUGAUGCCUUAAGUUUUAGCUUUUGUAUUUUUCAGAUUCUGUGCUGCUUUAGUGUGUAAUUCUGAGCUUCAUAUUAAGUGUUGGUAAGCUUUCUUCACAGUGUAGGCAGACAAAACAAUUCCUUCUCCAGCUGGGGACCCAAGGACAGCCGAUACAGAUCUCAGGCCCAAGAGCAUAAACAACUGCAGAAUGAAGAGAAAAAAACAAGAAGAAUGUGACUUCACAACCUAAAGUUAUAAUUGGACAAUUAACUCCAGUAUGCAAAUGGACCAGAACUUGUAAAAGUGAGAAACACCAUGACUGGUCAUGCAUUUUGUGAUCAUUUUGGGUACAUCUUGUGUGUAGCCCUGGCCGGGCUCUUGUACUGCCCAAGGUGCAUCCUUGAGGCCUUCUAAUAAAUACCUGCUUUAUUCUUUAACUCUGUCUAGCCUCUGUUCCAGGUCAGCCUUCUCAAGGCAUCACUUUGAGUAAAAAUACAUACCAAUUUUUAUUGGAAUAAACUAAGAUUUGUGACACGCUAUGCAGCAAGAUGAGCCAGUUUAAGAAAUUUCCUCCCAGAAUAUUGAAUUAUGUUGCUGAAUAGAAAACAUCUUUAUACAGAGUUGUUCAAAUAAGAAACUUUUCAUACCUUGUGCAGCUUUCAAAUUUCAGAUCAUAGACUAAUGAUGGAACUUUUUCAGGGCUGGAGGGAGUCAGCUCGGAUUCAGCAGACUCAUGGCUCUCUCCUCAGCACCUAGGCCUGGUCCAUUCACCCUCCCCAAGGCCUCUGGAUCGCCCUUCCCCAAACUCCUGAGCAUUUCUUCUAUGCAUUCACUGGACCUACAGAAGUAUCCAGAUGGCUAAUGCUCUUCUCAGAGGAAUGCAACCAGCCCCACCAACCCCACACUGCCAGUUUGCUUAAUCCUCCUGCUCCUAGAUGAUACUUCUGUGCUUGCAUGUGAAGACAGCUCAAGGAAAAUCUUGAGAUGAAAUGGAAGCAGAAGCACAGUAAAAUAGAAAGAAAUGAGACUGGGCUACCAUGAUCAGCUCAUGGACCUAGCACAUGUUCCCAGCAGCCAGUCAUCCCUUUAAGGUAGCAGUCAUCAGCUCAAAACAAAAUCUGUUUGCUCUCCAGAGUGCCAGGAUCUCUCUGCUGAAAGCUUGUGGUCCAAGACACAGUGAAGGACUGUGUAGACAUGAAGAAGGAUACAGCCUCUGCUUGUGAGAUUUGGUAAAUAUGACAAUCCCAGAGGAAGGAGGAUGAGUGUGAUAAAAAGCAUGUGAAGACAAAGGGUCUGAGAUAACAUUUCAAAGAGAAGUUUUACUCAAAUCCAUGGUGAUAUUCCUUCAAAUCUUCCCCUAUGAUUCACAUAGCAUGAUGACCUUUAAACACAGCUUCCUUAUUGUGGAAUACCAUGUUUUUAUAGCUUGGAUUUUUGCUGAACCAAAUUAAUGAAAAUGUUGCACUGCAGAAUACCUGGAAACAGCACGGGAGAAUUUUCAUUUUCUCAGCAUUUCAUUUCUAGUAAAAUUGGUGUGGUUGCACCAUUCUGCAGCAGUGAUUUGCAAAGGAAGUGGUGAGGCUAAAUGUACUGAAAAUCUGACACGUUCCCUGAGCAACAAAGGAACUCAAAGCAAAUGUUACAGUAUUACUGACAACAUCAGUAGUGCUUGUUUAAGUAUUAGCUUCAUAAACAUUAAAAUGGAGUAUUAAAAAAGAAAAAAAUCACACAGGCCGCUCUGCCUGGAUCAGAUUUCUUGUGCUGUUUCUCUCUAUUCUCUCUUAAAAUAAAAGCUUGUCUGCAACAGCUGUUUAUGAACCUUGGUGUUCUCUUCAGUGGUGCCUCCUGCCAGAUGCCCUUGAAGGUUUUCUCCUUGACAUGAGGGAGAUUUUUAUUAUUACUUGCCUUCCAAUAUCACCUCCUGCCCUGAGAACUGCACAAUGAACAAACCAUAGGGAACUUUCUGACCUGAAGACAGUCUAUGCUGUCCUGCAGCACUGCAGAAAAGGCACAUUAUUGGCAGGUGAGAUUGUUGGGUUUGUUCAUUCAUGAGAGUUUGUGUGGUGUUGCAUUUUUUCCAAUUCACUGGCAAGCUCAGGCUAAGUGAUCUGAAGUCCCAUGGCCAGAGAGACUGGAUAUACUGUUUGCCUAGGGUUGGAUAGCCUGGAAGGGACCUCAGAUACUGCGAGAGAGACCGGACUGCUGGUGCUAAUGGUUCAAACAACAGGCUGGGUGCUUUUCUAGUGAUGCACAGAGUGUCCUCCCAGGUGCAGAAGGGCCUGACAAACUAGAUUUCCAGAUAAGGGAAAAGCCGGAUAAGAGGCAAAUCCUUCCAGGUGAGAUAAAUCCUUCCUAUCAUGCCAAUGUCCUGAUGACCCAGCUGUGAAAACUCCCCUCCCAAGUACUGGGACAUUCACUGGAAGGAUGAAGGAUUCACGUUGGCUGAUGGGCCAUGAUUGAUUCAACUACACUAACUUCAGAGACAGCAGCAGCAUCUAGGAAGAUAUAAAAGUUGUAGGAAGUGCCCAGUGAUCCAGUGUUACCUCAUUCAGGGGAGAUACCAGGGGCAUAAUAAACCCCAUGGACAUGGUGUUUUGCAGACUUUUUCCCUCACCACUUGAUGGAUGCCAUCUACAACCACCAUCCCCACAAGACUGCAAUCGCUGAGAAGACUGGAAGAGGACCAACAGGAUAUUGUUGGAAUACUGAGAAAUGCUUCUCUCAAUCUGUAUCUUUACGUGAAUCAUGUAGAAGUGGAAGUCCAACUGAGGCUUUGGCAGAAAGGAAGGGUUGCUUCAAGUGCUGUACAUCAUCCUGACGCACUUAAUCUGUGUUUGUCUUCUGACCUGUUAAAAGCUGAUGAUUCUUAUCUGUGCUGCUGCUUCCUAUUUCAUUCCCCCGCACCCUCACAACACUGCAGUUCAUUUUUUCAGUCAAUGUGUAGAGAUCUUAAUUUAUCCUCAUUGGGUCACAGCCUAUUUUUUUCAGUCCAUUUAAACUUAUUUAGAGCUCAUUUCCAUUGAGAUCAUUUUGAAUGCCACCCCUGUUAUCUAAAAUAUUUUCAAUUCUUCCCAGCUUAGACUUAUAUGAAAAUAUGUCAGGCAUCCUCUCUCAUUUUUCAACCAAGUCUUCACUGAAUGGUAGGCAACACAAUAUAUAUACUAAUGCCCUUCAAUAUGUGUGACCAAGCUGGAUGUGAACUAGUGAUUGCUAUCCCCUGUGGUUGGUUUUCUCCCUGUAUCAUGGGUUUUAGUUGUUUUUCUUGCACAGCAUAGCACUAGUCUGUCUACGAGCAUGCCAUGGGGACAGUGCAAAUGAACACACUAAAGCGGAGAUAUCACAUCUCUGCUUUAUCCCUUUACCACAAAGCUAUUUACACUGUCACUGAAGGAACUUAGGCUGGUCUGACAUGAUCUAUUCUUGGCAAAUCCAUGUUGCCAGUUACUUACCACUUUAUGAACUUCCUGGCAUUGUCCCAGAAUGUGUACGUUAGCAAACUGCUGACAGCACAAUUUGGUUGUAUCUCAGUGGCAGUAAGUCAAGAGAGGAUCUCCAGUGCCCUUCUGUUUUUCUGUAUUUGUCAUCUCUUUAAAAAAGCCCCAUGACUGCACUCCCUCCCCUCUAUUCAAGAAAAGCAGACAAAGCAAUGUGGCCAAAAGUUUUUGUGUGACUCCUCGCCUCUCUUAGCUGAAUGUGCUCACCCACACAUGGGUCACUUGUACCACUAAGGACAUUGCUACUAAGAACAUUCUAUGUGGAGACACCUUUCUGUGCCACUGCUACAGAAGAAUUGCAGCUACACUCUGAUAUUUUAUAAGGUUAAUAGCUUGACUGACAACUUCAUUUCAUGUUGGUGGCACUGAACCAGCUGUGCAAACUUUUUUCUGGCGGUUUGGGGAUAAAGAUGGGAAAAAAGGAACAUGAGGAGAAAGGACAAGAAAAUAAAAUGUUAAGCCACAGGAAUGUGCAAAACACUUGGGUAAUAUGUGUCAUUAACAGAGAUAUCAAAAAUGCCUAUGGAGGGCACAUAGAAGACAAAAAUGGCCAAAUCUGUGUGUGAUUUGUAGAAGUGCAGUGAACACACCCAUAACUCAUACUCAUGUUCAUUUCUUUGUUAAUUUUAAAAAUGUUGUACCCAAAUGUCUGGCUUUUGUCUUUCUGAAGAAAGGAAACAAUACUCCACCUCAAUCCAUGUGGUCUUGUGCUUUAACACGAAGGGCAGACAAACCAAAGUGGGUCUGGAGAUGCUUGGAUCUGUCUUCUCCAUUAAACAGAGUUCUAAUCCCAUCAGAAUAAAUGCCAACAUGUGAACAGUGGAUUCUAUUUAUGCUGCUUCUAGUCAAAAGCCAUGGGCACAGCUUGUGGGGUUCUGAGCUUCUCAGGUGCAUCUUGUUUUUGCCCAACUGAGCGCAGUACCAGAGCCACUGUGGAUACCAGGACACCAACAAGAAUAAAAUCAGUACGGCCUUCUCCCCACUGUUAUUCCCCUCUGUAA
Passer domesticus (house sparrow) is the source of this 6887-nucleotide long non-coding RNA. RefSeq lists it as uncharacterized. The transcript has 8 exons. The record is from RefSeq and is a predicted model, not a curated record. NCBI's taxonomy places the organism in Eukaryota, Metazoa, Chordata, Aves, Passeriformes, Passeridae.